GGCGUAAAGCGUGCGCAGGCGGUUUUGUAAGUCUGUCGUGAAAUCCCCGGGCUCAACCUGGGAAUUGCGAUGGAGACUGCAAGGCUAGAAUCUGGCAGAGGGGGGUAGAAUUCCACGUGUAGCAGUGAAAUGCGUAGAGAUGUGGAGGAACACCGAUGGCGAAGGCAGCCCCCUGGGUCAAGAUUGACGCUCAUGCACGAAAGCGUGGGGAGCAAACAGGAUUAGAUACCCUGGUAGUCCACGCCCUAAACGAUGUCUACUAGUUGUCGGGUUUUAAUUAACUUGGUAACGCAGCUAACGCGUGAAGUAGACCGCCUGGGGAGUACGGUCGCAAGAUUAAAACUCAAAGGAAUUGACGGGGACCCGCACAAGCGGUGGAUGAUGUGGAUUAAUUCGAUGCAACGCGAAAAACCUUACCUGGCCUUGACAUGCCACUCAACGAAGCAGAGAUGCAUUACGGUGCUCGAAAGAGAAAGUGGACACAAGGUGCUGCAUGGCUGUCGUCUGCUCGUGUCGUGAGAUGUUGGGUUAAGUCCAGUCAACGAGCGCAACCCUUGCCAAUAAUUGCCAUCAUUUAGUUGGGCACUUUAAUGAGACUGCCGGUGACAAACCGGAGGAAGGUGGGGAUGACGUCAAGUCCUCAUGGCCCUUAUGGCCAGGGCUUCACACGUAAUACAAUGGUCGGUACAGAGGGUUGCCAAGCCGCGAGGUGGAGCCAAUCCCAGAAAGCCGAUCGUAGUCCGGAUUGUUCUCUGCAACUCGAGAGCAUGAAGUCGGAAUCGCUAGUAAUCGCGGAUCAGC
RNAcentral lists this ribosomal RNA (801 nucleotides) under uncultured Methylophilus sp. RNAcentral's name for it is "bacterial SSU rRNA". It matches the Rfam family "Bacterial small subunit ribosomal RNA", at positions 557 to 1353 of the family's 1533-position model. Lineage: Bacteria; Pseudomonadati; Pseudomonadota; Betaproteobacteria; Nitrosomonadales; Methylophilaceae. The record is from RNAcentral.